RNAcentral lists this non-coding RNA (391 nucleotides) under Opisthocomus hoazin. RNAcentral's name for it is "Eukaryotic large subunit ribosomal RNA". It matches the Rfam family "Eukaryotic large subunit ribosomal RNA", at positions 2550 to 2796 of the family's 3401-position model. The record is from Rfam by way of RNAcentral. Lineage: Eukaryota; Metazoa; Chordata; Aves; Opisthocomiformes; Opisthocomidae.
AAUGCAUUUUGGAUUUGUCACGGUGCAGCUUUUGGGUGGAAGUAUAACAGAGCAGAUCCUAGAUAUGAGAUCUGAAAUAAAAGUUACAGCUGUGACAUCCUUGCAGCAUCCUGCUGCUGGGACAGUGUCAGGUGUGGAGUUUGGCCGGGGCAGUACACCCAUCAAACCAUAUGACAGGUCAUCUAAGGUGAGCUCAGGGAGGAUGGAAACCUACCUUCCGUGGAGGAGAAGGGCAAAAGCUUGCUCGAUCUUGGGUUUCAGUAUGAAUACAGACCAUGAAAGCAGGGCCUCAUGAUCCUUCUGACUUUCUGGGUCUUGUCCAAAACCCCAAGCAUCUCUAACAUGCUAUGUUUGCGCCUGAAAAUUGUAAUUGUUAUUUUUCAGAAAGAAG